Molecule: microRNA, 22 nt
Filed under: Gallus gallus (chicken)
Lineage: Eukaryota; Metazoa; Chordata; Aves; Galliformes; Phasianidae
Description: gga-miR-7480-3p
Source: miRBase by way of RNAcentral
UUCUCUAAAGCGUGGACAGACA